This 78-nucleotide transfer RNA is filed under the name Candidatus Bathyarchaeota archaeon. RNAcentral's name for it is "tRNA-Met". It matches the Rfam family "tRNA". From Rfam's summary of the family: Transfer RNA (tRNA) molecules are approximately 80 nucleotides in length. Their secondary structure includes four short double-helical elements and three loops (D, anti-codon, and T loops). RNAcentral also lists the same sequence under 2 other names. Lineage: Archaea; Thermoproteati; Candidatus Bathyarchaeota. The record is from RNAcentral.
AGCGGGGUGGGGUAGUCAGGAGAUCCCGCGGGGCUCAUAACCCCGAGAUCGGUGGUUCAAAUCCACCCCCCGCUACCA